GUGUCAGCCGCCGCGGUAAUACGUAGGUGGCAAGCGUUGUCCGGAUUUAUUGGGCGUAAAGCACGCGCAGGCGGAUUCUUAAGUCUGAUGUGAAAUCCCACGGCUUAACUUUGGGGGUUCAUUGCAAACUGGGUGACUUGAGUGCAGGAGAGGAAAGUAGAAUUCCUAGUGUAGCGGUGAAAUGCGUAGAGAUUAGGAAGAACACCAGUGGCGAAGGCGUCUUUCUGGACUGCAACUGACGCUGAGGCGUGAAAGCAUGGGGAGCAAACAGGAUUAGAUACCCUGGUAGUCCAUGCCGUAAACGAUGAGUGCUAAGUGUUAGGGGUAU
This 328-nucleotide ribosomal RNA is filed under the name uncultured bacterium. Its description in RNAcentral is "bacterial SSU rRNA". It matches the Rfam family "Bacterial small subunit ribosomal RNA", at positions 505 to 832 of the family's 1533-position model. The record is from RNAcentral.